AAAGAGAAGAAAGAGACGAAAUAUGGCAUUGGGCCAUUUAAAACAUUGGGCUCAAAGAAUUAUCCAACUCCGGCCCAAAGAUGUCAUCAAUUUUCAGCUGAUCAAAAUCCAGCCCAAAUAAUGAUUUCAUCUCAACCAUUCAAAGUUGACAAAAUCACAUGAGCCACACGAUCAAGACAAUCUUGAUCAAUAAGCAUAUUUAGAUAGUUAUGGGAAGAUUUCAUUAUAGAUAGGACAAAGUUUGUUAUAGUAUAGCAAAUAGAAAUUAGACAAGUAUAUAGGAUUUUUUCAUUAUUCUUUAUUUUUGAAUUCACUAUUGUUUGUAUAUAUAGGCAUGUCUUGCAAUGAAAUAAACAAGCAGAAAAUUUCCAAUUCCAGUGUUGUUAUUUCAUGGUAUCAGAGCAAAAGCUCUAAAUCAUCUCUAAUCAAACUCAUACAACACAUCAGUCAUGCCUAAUAACAGGGAAAAUAUCCCAACUAAUGUCACUGCAGGACAAACUUCCACUGGUAUUGGUGUAGAUACGUGAUUUCUGACCCUCUCGGGACGUUUGAAAAAAAAAAGUCUCAUUUUUAUAAUAUAAGUUUUGUUUUCAUUUGUGACAAAAGAAAGAAAAUUUACCAAAAAAUACAUUUUUUUAUAUUUUAGUUAAUUUCCAAUUUUAAAGAUUGUAAUAAAAGAGUAUCGAGUAACAGAGUAUUUUUAAUCUUGCUUUUUAAAUUAAGAGUAGUAUUUUUAUCACUUAAAAAUCAAAAAUAGAACCAAUAGUGUAUUGCCACUUGGCAAAAUUUCACUCUUCCACACAAAAAGCACAUUCCAUUUUGGGAAGAAAUAUUCCAUUCUUCCUUCCCAAAAUAUUUUUUUUACACAUGGGCAUUUUGGAAAAAAGGCAAAAAAUAAGCACACGCAAAAUCCUACACCUAGACACACUAUAAAUAGCUAAAAAUAGAAACCUAAUGGACCCUAGAGUCCAUCAUCAGCAGCAGCCGUAAGACUCUAACAUCAUCAAUAUCCAGCCGCAACACACUAAAAAACACACAGAAUCAGCUGCAUACAAAAAUGAAUCAACAAGUCCUUCUUCAUUUUUUCUAGACUAAGCACCUAGACUACGUACACUAAGCAACCACAAUAGCUCAUACACACAAAAACUAGCAGCUCUUAAACCUCCAUAGCCAUGAAAACAAGCUCUUAAAACUCCAUAGCCAACACCAAACACCAUAUGGAUUUCCACCGUUGGUAAUGUCUCUUGUUCGAGGUCGCCGAAGUGAUUUUCGAUUUUAAGUCGGACUCCAUUAAAGGUCCUGCUUUUGUCACGAUUUUUCUCAUAUUUUCCGAACAAAGGUUUCUGUUGAUGUACUUGGAGAUUCAUCGAAUAUAUUAAAGGCAUUUGGCUGCUGUAAAGGAAUGGCAUUCGUUAACAAUGCUUUUGAUGGAAGGGGUUAUCAAGGGUGGAAGAAGACUGUUCUCAUUGCUUUGUCCGCUAAAAACAAAACUGGAUGCAUCACAGGUGCACAUAUUGCACCAUCAACAGAUUCCAGUGAUUUUCAACUAUGGAGCAGAUGUAAUGACAUGGUUAUAUCAUGGUUGCUGAACUCUUUGUCAAGAGACAUUGUUGAUAGUGUCAUAUACUCCAGAUCUGCUAAGGAGCUUUGGACAAGUCUUGAACACAGAUUUGGCUAAUCUAAUGGGGCUAAAUUAUAUCUCUUACAAAAACAACUAAGUGGAUUAGCUCAAGGUACUUCUAAUGUUGCUGCAUAUUUCACAAAAAUGAAAAGAUUGUGGGAUGAGCUAGAUUCACUAAAUGCUAACAUUAAAUGUAGCUAUCUUGGUACUUGUGAAGGGAAAGAUAAGUUACAGAAA
Molecule: long non-coding RNA, 1858 nt
Organism: Lycium ferocissimum
Lineage: Eukaryota; Viridiplantae; Streptophyta; Magnoliopsida; Solanales; Solanaceae
Exons: 2
Source: RefSeq, a predicted model, not a curated record